Long non-coding RNA from Oncorhynchus keta (chum salmon), 1561 nucleotides. RefSeq lists it as uncharacterized. The record is from RefSeq and is a predicted model, not a curated record. NCBI's taxonomy places the organism in Eukaryota, Metazoa, Chordata, Actinopteri, Salmoniformes, Salmonidae. The transcript is spliced from 3 exons.
CCCACUGUUUCCACUGUUUCUACUGUUUCCACUGUUUCCACUGUUUCUACUGUUCCCACUGUUUCCACUGUUUCCACUGUUUCUACUGUUUCCACUGUUUCCACUGUUUCCACUGUUUCCACUGUUUCCACUGUUUCUACUGUUUCCACUGUUUCUACUGUUUCCACUGUUCCCACUGUUUCCACUGUUUCCACUUCCACCUAACAAUGUAUAUAAACCCUGGAUUAACUGAUUCUAUGUAUUGGCCAUUGAGAGGUUUUGAAGCCACCGGUCGGCCAUAUUGGUACUGCCCAGUAGGAGCUGGAUUAACUGAUUCUAUGUAUUGGCCAUUGAGAGGUUUUGAAGCCACCGGUCGGCCAUAUUGGUACUGCCCAGUAGGAGCUGGAUUAACUGAUUCUAUGUAUUGGCCAUUGAGAGGUUUUGAAGCCACCGGUCGGCCAUAUUGGUACUGCCCAGUAGGAGCUGGAUUAACUGAUUCUAUGUAUUGGCCAUUGAGAGGUUUUGAAGCCACCGGUCGGCCAUAUUGGUACUGCCCAGUAGGAGCUGGAUUAACUGAUUCUAUGUAUUGGCCAUUGAGAGGUUUUGAAGCCACCGGUCGGCCAUAUUGGUACUGCCCAGUAGGAGCUGGAUUAACUGAUUCUAUGUAUUGGCCAUUGAGAGGUUUUGAAGCCACCGGUCGGCCAUAUUGGUACUGCCCAGUAGGAGCUGGAUUAACUGAUUCUAUGUAUUGGCCAUUGAGAGGUUUUGAAGCCACCGGUCGGCCAUAUUGGUACUGCCCAGUAGGAGCUGUUCUCCAUAGGAAUGAAUGAAAUUCUACCCUAUUUCAAUUACAUGUUUUUAAGUAUUUUGGGGUUGUAGUUGGGACAGUAACAUUAGUCAUCUCAGAAAAUGAUAUGUUAAAUUCACAUAAUAUAAUUUAAAAGUAUACAUCAGGAUGUCUGUAAUAUAGAACGUGUGGCAAAAGAUAAUGUAUGUUUACAUUUGAGUAAUUUAGGAGACUCUGUUAUCCAGAGAGACUUCCAGGAAGUACAUUCAUCUCCAGAUAGCUAAGUGGACCAGUCAUAGUCAGUACAUUCAUCUUCAGAUAGCUAGGUGGACCAGUCAUAGUCAGUACAUUCAUCUACAGAUAGCUAGGUGGACCAGACAUAGUCAGUACAUUCAUCUCCAGAUAGCUAGGUGGACCAGUCAUAGUCAGUACAUUCAUCUCCAGAUAGCUAAGUGGACCAGUCAUAGUCAGUACAUUCAUCUACAGAUAGCUAGGUGGACCAGUCAUAGUCAGUACAUUCAUCUCCAGAUAGCUAGGUGGACCAGUCAUAGUCAGUACAUUCAUCUCCAGAUAGCUAGGUGGACCAGUCAUAGUCAGUACAUUCAUCUCCAGAUAGCUAGGUGGACCAGUCAUAGUCAGUACAUUCAUCUCCAGAUAGCUAGGUGGACCAGUCAUAGUCAGUACAUUCAUCUCCAGAUAGCUAGGUGGACCAGUUAUAGUCAGGACAUUCAUCUCCAGAUAGCUAGGUGGACCAGUCAUAGUCAGUACAUUCAUCUCCAGAUAGCUAGGUGGACC